CAAACUUGGUCAUUUACGAGGAAGUAAAAGUCGUAACAAGG
Molecule: ribosomal RNA, 41 nt
Filed under: uncultured Glomeromycotina
Lineage: Eukaryota; Fungi; Glomeromycota
Description: partial 5.8S ribosomal RNA
Source: RNAcentral